Molecule: ribosomal RNA, 417 nt
Filed under: Triticum aestivum (bread wheat)
Lineage: Eukaryota; Viridiplantae; Streptophyta; Magnoliopsida; Poales; Poaceae
Description: partial small subunit ribosomal RNA
Source: RNAcentral
UCAAAGUAUGAAGGGAAUAUUGAAUGUGCUAGUAAGUCAAUUUUGCUUACCUCCCCAGAAGGGAGAAGGAUCAAGUAUGUAUCCCGGCAUGUGCCAAAGGGCACUCAAGUAAAUUGCCUAACAGGAGUUGUGCAGGAGGAAGUACCAGUGGUAAGGGAUUUUACCGAUGUAUUUCCGGAAGAGUUGCCAGGCAUGCCACCGGAUAGAGAUAUUGAGUUUUUGAUUGAGCUAUUGCCAGGCACAGGGCCAAUAUCUAAGAGACCAUAUAGGAUGCCAACAAAGGAUUUGGUGGAAAUUAAGAAGCAGAUUAAGGAGUUACUGGAUAAGGGAUAUAUCCGCCCAAGUUCUUCGCCUUGGGGAUCGCCAGUACUUCUAGUGGAGAAGAAGGAUGGAUCGUUAAGGAUGGUUGUUGAUUAU